CACGUAGGGUGCGAGCGUUGUCCGGAAUUAUUGGGCGUAAAGAGCUCGUAGGCGGUGUGUCGCGUCGGCCGUGAAAACCUGCAGCUUAACUGUGGGCUUGCGGUCGAUACGGGCAUCACUGGAGUUCGGCAGGGGAGACUGGAAUUCCUGGUGUAGCGGUGAAAUGCGCAGAUAUCAGGAGGAACACCGGUGGCGAAGGCGGGUCUCUGGACAUCUCCUGACACUGAGGCACGAAAGCUAGGGGAGCAAACAGG
This 254-nucleotide ribosomal RNA is filed under the name uncultured bacterium. RNAcentral describes it as "partial 16S ribosomal RNA". It matches the Rfam family "Bacterial small subunit ribosomal RNA", at positions 524 to 776 of the family's 1533-position model. The record is from RNAcentral.